Long non-coding RNA from Haliotis rubra (blacklip abalone), 1076 nucleotides. RefSeq lists it as uncharacterized. The transcript has 2 exons. The record is from RefSeq and is a predicted model, not a curated record. NCBI's taxonomy places the organism in Eukaryota, Metazoa, Mollusca, Gastropoda, Lepetellida, Haliotidae.
CGUCUUUUGGUAUGACGCGGUCGGGGAUCGAACCCGCGACCUUCCGCUCUCCGGGUGGACGCUCUAACCACUACACCACGGAGGCGGUCGGGCAGAUUUGAAGGUUGUCAAGGAGGGAACACAUCUGGGGUGAUGGGGAAGAGAGUUCCAUAGAACAGCAGCAGAGUGCUUGAAGGGUCUGGAACCAAAUGUCUUCAACGUUUAGGGAGGUACAGCAAGCAGGAAUUUAUUGCACCCAGUAGAGUCACCAUGGUAAUUGAUGCUUAUUGGGCACGCUUGAAACAGAACAAGUAAAUCUUGUUAAUGAGGGUUGUACAGUGAUGCCAGCAUUGUGCUGAUUCAGAUAUGACAUGAAUAUGGUUCCUUAGUCGUGUCUUUGGUUUCCAACUCUGGUGCAUAGAUGAGGUGAAGAAUCCUACUGAUGUCGACAUUCUUGAAGGAAAUGAGAACAUCUAUGUGUCUGGAACAGAGGUUGAACCUUUGGGCGUCCUGUGCUUUCAUUGAUUUUAAUUAUAUAGUCAAUAAUUUAGAUUUGUCAUCAAGAUCAGAUAGGAAUAGAGUUGAACCUAUUGGGAUACCUGCAACUUGUCUAAAUAUGCUGUCCCCAAAUUUGACACAGAAAAUGUGAAUCAAGACAUAGCAAUUUACACCCAUUAUGAAUUGUAGUUAAAGUUCUGUAGGUAAUAACUAGAUGUAGAUGUAUACAAUUCUUGUGCAUUCAGUGUAUUGUAGACAAAAGUCAGCUCAUAGCUGUUGUUUCCUUGUAGUCUGCUCUUUAAAAGACCAUUAAAGGGACAAUUUACAACUAAGAUGCCACAGUGGCAGUAUGUUCUAUUGGAAACAGGGUUAUCAGGGUAAAAUAGCCAGCCAUAUCAGUGUUACUCAGAGUCUUUACAGACUGUGUGAUAGCUACAGGCAAAUUAGUAGUAACAUCAGGCCAUCUUAAGUGAAGAACUGUUCAGAAGAUCAUUAGAAUGAUGUAAUUUGUCAUAUGUGGCCAUCCUGAUAUCAACUACACAAGCUGAAUGGAGGAAAUACACUUUUCUUGGUGAUAUGAAAACUUACACAUCUGCAAA